This 73-nucleotide transfer RNA is filed under the name Camelus bactrianus (Bactrian camel). It matches the Rfam family "tRNA". Rfam says of the family: Transfer RNA (tRNA) molecules are approximately 80 nucleotides in length. The record is from Rfam by way of RNAcentral. RNAcentral also lists the same sequence under 2 other names. Lineage: Eukaryota; Metazoa; Chordata; Mammalia; Artiodactyla; Camelidae.
GUAUGUAUAGCUCAGUGGUGGAGUGUGUGCUUAGGGUGCAUGAGGUCAUGGGUUCAAUCCCCAGGUACCUCCA